CAGCCGCCGCGGUAAUACGUAGGGGGCAAGCGUUAUCCGGAAUUAUUGGGCGUAAAGAGUGCGUAGGUGGUCUACUAAGCGCGAGGUGAAAGGCAAUGGCUCAACCAUUGUUAGCCUUGCGAACUGGCAGACUUGAGUGCAAGAGAGGAAAGCGGAAUUCCUAGUGUAGCGGUGAAAUGCGCAGAUAUUAGGAGGAACACCGGCGGCGAAGGCGGCUUUCUGGAUUGUAACUGACACUGAGGCACGAAAGCGUGGGUAGCAAACAGGAUUAGAUACCCCGGUAGUCCCUGUCUCUUAUACA
This 301-nucleotide ribosomal RNA is filed under the name uncultured bacterium. RNAcentral describes it as "partial 16S ribosomal RNA". It matches the Rfam family "Bacterial small subunit ribosomal RNA", at positions 509 to 808 of the family's 1533-position model. The record is from RNAcentral.